UACGGAGGGUGCGAGCGUUGUCCGGAAUCAUUGGGCGUAAAGGGCGCGUAGGUGGGCGCGGCAAGCGUGCGGUGAAAGCUCGGGGCUCAACCCCCAGCCUGCAGUGGGUACGGGCAGACGUAGAGUGGCGGUAGGGGAGAUUGGAAUUCCGUGGUGUAGCGGUGGAAUGCGCAGAUAUCAGGAGGAACACCGAUGGCGAAGGCAGAUCUCUGGGCCGUAACUGACGCUGAGGAGCGAAAGCAUGGGGAGCGAACAGG
This 257-nucleotide ribosomal RNA is filed under the name uncultured bacterium. Its description in RNAcentral is "partial 16S ribosomal RNA". It matches the Rfam family "Bacterial small subunit ribosomal RNA", at positions 524 to 776 of the family's 1533-position model. The record is from RNAcentral.